This 253-nucleotide ribosomal RNA is filed under the name uncultured bacterium. Its description in RNAcentral is "partial 16S ribosomal RNA". It matches the Rfam family "Bacterial small subunit ribosomal RNA", at positions 524 to 776 of the family's 1533-position model. The record is from RNAcentral.
UACGGAGGGUGCGAGCGUUGUCCGGAAUCAUUGGGCGUAAAGGGCGCGUAGGUGGCCCGGUCAGUCCGUGGUGAAAGCGCGGGGCUCAACCCCGCGUCGGCCAUGGAUACUGCUGGGCUGGAGCACUGUAGAGGCAGGCGGAAUUCCGGGUGUGGCGGUGGAAUGCGUAGAGAUCCGGAAGAACACCGGUGGCGAAGGCGGCCUGCUGGGCAGUUGCUGACACUGAGGCGCGACAGCGUGGGGAGCAAACAGG